GAUGAACGCUGGCGGCGUGCCUAAUACAUGCAAGUCGAGCGAACAGACGAGGAGCUUGCUCCUCUGACGUUAGCGGCGGACGGGUGAGUAACACGUGGAUAACCUACCUAUAAGACUGGGAUAACUUCGGGAAACCGGAGCUAAUACCGGAUAACAUAUUGAACCGCAUGGUUCAACAGUGAAAGACGGUUUUGCUGUCACUUAUAGAUGGAUCCGCGCCGCAUUAGCUAGUUGGUAAGGUAACGGCUUACCAAGGCGACGAUGCGUAGCCGACCUGAGAGGGUGAUCGGCCACACUGGAACUGAGACACGGUCCAGACUCCUACGGGAGGCAGCAGUAGGGAAUCUUCCGCAAUGGGCGAAAGCCUGACGGAGCAACGCCGCGUGAGUGAAGAAGGUCUUCGGAUCGUAAAACUCUGUUAUUAGGGAAGAACAAAUGUGUAAGUAACUAUGCACGUCUUGACGGUACCUAAUCAGAAAGCCACGGCUAACUACGUG
RNAcentral lists this ribosomal RNA (497 nucleotides) under uncultured bacterium. Its description in RNAcentral is "partial 16S ribosomal RNA". It matches the Rfam family "Bacterial small subunit ribosomal RNA", at positions 28 to 507 of the family's 1533-position model. The record is from RNAcentral.